This 318-nucleotide ribosomal RNA is filed under the name Escherichia coli. RNAcentral describes it as "bacterial LSU rRNA". It matches the Rfam family "Bacterial large subunit ribosomal RNA", at positions 2625 to 2925 of the family's 2925-position model. The record is from RNAcentral. Lineage: Bacteria; Pseudomonadati; Pseudomonadota; Gammaproteobacteria; Enterobacterales; Enterobacteriaceae.
GACAGUUCGGUCCAUAUCUGCCGUGGGCGCUGGAGAACUGAGGGGGGCUGCUCCUAGUACGAGAGGACCGGAGUGGACGCAUCACUGGUGUUCGGGUUGUCAUGCCAAUGGCACUGCCCGGUAGCUAAAUGCGGAAGAGAUAAGUGCUGAAAGCAUCUAAGCACGAAACUUGCCCCGAGAUGAGUUCUCCCUGACUCCUUGAGAGUCCUGAAGGAACGUUGAAGACGACGACGUUGAUAGGCCGGGUGUGUAAGCGCAGCGAUGCGUUGAGCUAACCGGUACUAAUGAACCGUGAGGCUUAACCUUACAACGCCGAAG